GACUAUUUAGUUUAAAAAAAUGUAUGUUUUGAAAACAUAAGAUAAGAAUAUAUUCUUAAUAGUUG
This 65-nucleotide transfer RNA is filed under the name Metaplax longipes. Its description in RNAcentral is "tRNA-Ser". It matches the Rfam family "tRNA". Rfam says of the family: Transfer RNA (tRNA) molecules are approximately 80 nucleotides in length. Their secondary structure includes four short double-helical elements and three loops (D, anti-codon, and T loops). Further hydrogen bonds mediate the characteristic L-shaped molecular structure. tRNAs have two regions of fundamental functional importance: the anti-codon, which is responsible for specific mRNA codon recognition, and the 3' end, to which the tRNAs corresponding amino acid is attached (by aminoacyl-tRNA synthetases). tRNAs cope with the degeneracy of the genetic code in two manners: having more than one tRNA (with a specific anti-codon) for a particular amino acid; and 'wobble' base-pairing, i.e. permitting non-standard base-pairing at the 3rd anti-codon position. The record is from RNAcentral. Lineage: Eukaryota; Metazoa; Arthropoda; Malacostraca; Decapoda; Varunidae.